Molecule: ribosomal RNA, 445 nt
Filed under: uncultured bacterium
Lineage: Bacteria
Description: partial 16S ribosomal RNA
Rfam family: Bacterial small subunit ribosomal RNA
Source: RNAcentral
GUAGGGAAUAUUGGGCAAUGGAGGCAACUCUGACCCAGCCAUGCCGCGUGCAGGAUGACGGCCCUCUGGGUUGUAAACUGCUUUUAUACGGGAAGAAAAAAUACUACGUGUAGUAUACUGACGGUACCGUAAGAAUAAGGAUCGGCUAACUCCGUGCCAGCAGCCGCGGUAAUACGGAGGAUCCAAGCGUUGUCCGGAUUUAUUGGGUUUAAAGGGUGCGUAGGCGGAUCUUUAAGUCAGUGGUGAAAGCCUGCAGCUUAACUGUAGAAUUGCCAUUGAAACUGAAGAUGUUGAAUGUGGUUAAAGUAGGCGGAAUGUAUCAUGUAGCGGUGAAAUGCUUAGAUAUGAUACAGAACACCGAUAGCGAAGGCAGCUUGCUGAACCAUUAUUGACGCUGAGGCACGAAAGCGUGGGGAGCGAACAGGAUUAGAAACCCGGGUAGUCC